RNAcentral lists this long non-coding RNA (1160 nucleotides) under Homo sapiens (human). Its description in RNAcentral is "LNC_000589". Lineage: Eukaryota; Metazoa; Chordata; Mammalia; Primates; Hominidae. The record is from RNAcentral.
AGCCCAUUGGGCAACAUCUUGCAAAAUUGAGAAUAUUUUCUCCAUGGCUUCAUCAAACAGAAUUUUCUUUUGUAAAGUGGCUUGACCCUCACAGCUAUGGCACAGAUAGCAGGGUCAUCAAAAGCUGCUCCAUUCUUCUGGAAGCUACAGAGAAAGGGAACCUGGAAACCUGGUAUGCUGGCAAAAAGGGGUCAUGGGUGGCAAAAUAAAAACAGAGAAGAUGUGGACCAUGUCAUCAUUUAAUGAAGGAAAGAACUGAAAAUUGUAUUUGAGAACAAAGACACUAAACUUACCACCAUGCCAAAAGUAGAAGAGAUAUGAGAAACUAAAUGAUCCCCACUUAGUAGGAAGCAUAAUAUUGCAUCAGAAAUAAAAUGGGAAUAAUUAUAGCACCUGCUUUAUUUGCAUUUUGUGACCAAUAAAUGAAAGAGUGUAUCUGCAAAGUUUUUACUUCAAGAACUCAAGGUACCAUGUAGUAAGAGCUGAACACACAGGAGCUGCCUUUGUUAUCAAGAUUUCUCACUAAUACAGCAUAUUCAAGAUAGAAUUCUUCAGAGCUAGUUUGCCCAGAGCACUUAGAGACCUCUAAGCCCUUAUAGCAGUGAUUCUGUCUUAUAAUAGUAACUAUGCCCCCCAAUGCCCCUGCACAGCAUCCAAAAUACCGCCAUUUGAAACUACAACUUUUGCAAAGACUAUUGAGGUUAAGGUGAUGUUUGAAGUGAUGAUGGUAGUAAAGAAAAUAGUGUUAGUAGUUAUUGUUACAGCAAUGUUUUUUCAUUGCUUUAACAAAAAUAUAUUGAAUGUCCAGUCAUAAAAAUAUUUGUAGUCAUUUAUUCAAAAGCACAUACUAUGUUAAUAUGACUAAUGAAGAAAUACGCUAGUGACCAUUAAAAUAAUGAGACUUAUUUAUUAACACAUGCUUAUUGAUAGCAUAUUAUAUGUCAGGAACUAUUUUAAGAAUACAGUAGAAAUCACUAUCUAGUAGGAAUGCAGACAGAGAUUAUUUAUCCAACAAAAAUAUAUAUAAUUAUAAAUUAUAAUGAAUAAUAAAAGAAACACACAGUAUUCUGAGAUCAGAAAACAAAUGAUUUAAUGUAAUUAAAAGAAUCUUUUCUAAGGAGAUGAGGUUUGAACUAAGGUGAAAGAUGAGUAGAAACAGC